This 45-nucleotide non-coding RNA is filed under the name Schistosoma mansoni. Lineage: Eukaryota; Metazoa; Platyhelminthes; Trematoda; Strigeidida; Schistosomatidae. The record is from RNAcentral.
AUCCAGCUGACGAGUCCCAAAAAGGACGAAACGCGCAUUCUGGAU